This is a non-coding RNA of Macaca mulatta (Rhesus monkey), 2865 nucleotides long. NCBI's taxonomy places the organism in Eukaryota, Metazoa, Chordata, Mammalia, Primates, Cercopithecidae. The record is from RefSeq and is a predicted model, not a curated record.
GCCGAUUACACCCAGCUCGGCUGGGAUGGCUCCGAGCCGUCUGCCCUGACGUCAGCGAGGCUCCGGCCCCGCCGCGGCCAGAUAGGCGAGCGCGGCCGGGCGCGGGCGCGGCACUAAUCACUCCCAGAUGUCCCUAAUAGCGGAGAUAAAGACCGACAGAGCGGCCGGGAAUAAAUUUGUAAUCAGGGCUCUACCAUCUGAUCAUCAAAGCGGCCCAAAUACCGGGAGAAUUUGAAGGGAAUGUGUGUGCAGGGGGGUCGCUUGGGGGAAGAGGUGAGGGUGCACUUCACGAUGGGAACUGGCUUCGACAGGGUAGAGCAGGGAGAACGGGGCGAGAGAUCUGUAAGUUCGGUGCACGUAAGUCAGAUACCUGGUGCUCUUUAACCUCCAUUAGCCCUCCGACUGAAGCCGCUUAGCGGUUCCAGGGUGAUUGGAGCUGAGCAGACAGUUGCUGUGCGGGAAGCACGCGUUGCGCAGCGGCUGGGUGGUAAGGCGGCGCGCUCAGAACUGUCCUGCCCCCGGAAACGUGGGAUUGGUUUCCUCUCCCGGAGUUCUCCCCUCCCCCUUCUUUCUAAACAUUUAAAAAACACGUAGUCGGUCUCCCCCAACCCCCAUUCCCGGUAGACUUAAUCCCAAUAGCAAUUCAUUGCACCGCGGAGCUUCCUCAGGGAGGGGGCUGUUGGAGCCUCCAACCGGGGUCCUGGGCCCCAGUCUGAGGGUGACUCCUGGGUUUUUCUCUCCAAGAGAUCCGCAGGCUCUGAGAGGCCAGGAGUCCUGUGCGUCCGGGAGACUCCUUAGCGCCCCCUCCUUACGUGGAGAUCUGGACUCUUGUGCGCCCACCUCUCUUGUUCUCCUGCUACUUCACCAAUCCGAGUGGGAGACUAGCUCUGCAAUUCACGCCAAGCUGGGGCAGCGGCUAGCAGAGUCUGGUCGAAGGAAUUGAGGCACCCUCCACUCCUGACACACACACGACCUGAUGGCUUUCUCCUGAGCGGAUUAAAAUAAAGACGCAGAAGACAACUGAAACCACGAGAGGGAGGGAACCACUCGAUCAAACGCAGGAGGAUUGGGAGAGCAACAGAAAAUCAGGGCGCGCCUCCCCCACACCUCCUCUCCGUGUUAUAAACAAAGGCAAGUGUCUGUAAACACAGCCCCGCGCCCACCAGGUCGACCCAGCGCCGGCUGACCCAAGAGGAGAAAGUUCAGAUCGCUUUGGCCGAGUUGUUCUAACCCCUCGCCCUCGCGUUGUCAGCCGCCCGCAGAAGUCCGCAGAGCCUCUAGCUUGUCUCUCCCUGGGCACUUCUGAAAUCGCCCACGGCGGGUCUGAUUCGGCCUGCUGCAGGCAGAGGGGUCAUAGUGGACACCAGCUAGGCGCGGGAACCCUUGGGAUAUCGCGGGAGGGUCUGUGCCCGAGGCCAAGGUGCGAACAUCACCCUGAGGAUGGGUUCCAGGAUGGAAACCCUCUGGCAAGCCUCUCCAACACCAGAUUUAUAUACGCGGUGUUUCAUGAAACAAACCACUUUUUAAUACGGUUCACCUUUCUCUCUCCUCCGCCCACCCCCUUCCAAAAUCCCUCCCAGCCUCCUCCCCCCUCCCCUCAGCCGGCACUGGCACUUUAGUUUCUCCGGUUUCUAGAGCUGAGAUUCAAGCUUCCGCCAAGGCUGCAGGCAAAGGAGGCCGCUGGGACUUUCUUCCGGGACGAGCUGGGACUCAGGGAGCCCAAAGACCCAACAGGGAGAGAUCCCGGGUCCCCGGCUGCCAGUAGUCCCGGGAGGGUGUCGCUUGUUCCGCUGGGCUGCGGCCGGGAAGACUUCAGACACCGCACAGUUAAUAUUGAGUUCCCUGUAACUCCUUGUAAAUCUAACCCACCCCUCGCCCUCCUUUAAAUCCGUGGUCUUGUUCGCGAUUUCUUACUUGACGUAAAAUUCCUUGUUACCUAAUCAUGGACUUUUUCGAAACUCCUUCCACUCCCCUUUCCCGCCUGCUCAGAUGAGAAUCCCCCGUAUAGAAUACAAGCAAAAUCCUCUCCUCUCUUUUUUCCUUUUUUUUUUUUUUUCUUGGAUGAAAGCCCCAUAGUUUGAAUUAAACACCCAGACUAGUUCCCGUUGCAGCAAUAAUGCCGGGGUCCUCACAACUCCUCCACCAGAAACACACUCUCCAAACAAAAACUGACGGCCUCAAGAAACGGCUUCUGAUUGAUUUCAGGAACGCAAGAGCACCUUUACAGCUUCUGAGCGAACUGCCGGGCUGGGUUCUCCAGCCCGGAUCUUCCUUCUAGAGAAUACUCAGCGUUCUCCAGCUGGCGGAAGAGGGAAAGAGACACCACACCGACAGAGCCCAGACCCUUUGUAGGGUUUGUAACAAGGACACUUCUCUUCAAGAGCACCUCCUCCUCCUGCGCAGACCGCAGGUCAGGUUGACUGGUUGGAACCACUGAGUCUUUAAAAUAAAGUUAGAGGCAAUCAUGAUAAUUUAGUUUACUUCUGAAUAUUUUAAAUAUUAUGAAAACAAGUAUAACAGCUUUGUUUUCAAAACUCUUUUGAGGUAUCAACCAUUAAAAGAUUAGGGUUUCUGUAAAAAAAAAAAAAAAAAAAAACAACACAGUGGUUUAUUGAAUACUUACAACGUUUACACCUUCAAUAUUAAUUAAAUUCCAUUUAGUUUUAGAGGACGGAAGUGCACAAAACAAGUGGCUGUUGGAAACAUCUUCAAAGAGGGAACGACCACAGAUGAACGGACAGCACUAGAUACCGACCCCAACGGAAAUGUUAGCGGCCCUGUUUUCCGCUUUGAAAUAAAACUUUAUAAUCCCCAGGAAUAUUUAUAUCCAAAGGCCAAGCAUUAAAGAUACACUUCACAAACGCA